Molecule: long non-coding RNA, 3363 nt
Organism: Phascolarctos cinereus (koala)
Lineage: Eukaryota; Metazoa; Chordata; Mammalia; Diprotodontia; Phascolarctidae
Source: Ensembl
CUCUCCUCGACCCCGGGCUCAAAAAAUGGAAUUUAGGGUGGACUCUUGAAGACGGAGAAGGGGAGGGAGACCUGAAGGACUAAAUCCAUUCCUUCAUAUUUAUGAGUAGGAUGAGGGGGGAUGGGACAACUUGGCCUGAUCCCUGGGUGGUAGUGCAGAACAGGAUUCAGGAGUCAUAAGUUUAUUUCCCAACUCUACCCCUGUGUCUCUGGAUGAACUUGGAAUAACCUCUCUCCGGACCAUAUUUUCUGCCUUUUUUAAUAUGGUUGAUCACCAGGGUUUCUGAAAUUUAUGGGUCAGUCGCUGGGGGAAAAUUUCUCCUAGUCCCCCUUUCACCACCUCUUAAUCACCUCCCGAGGAGCAAGCAGAUUGCUCCUUGUGGUGGCACCAAGAGGGGUGGGAGGAAAGGAGAUUGUUUGGGUACCAGCUCCCUUUCAUCUCAUGUAUUUGACAGUAAGGGAAGCAGAUCAGACAAGGGUAGCUGAUGGACAAAAGAGGCCAGGGUUUCUUCCCCUGUCCCAUCGUUAUCAGGCCUCUGGACAACACCAGAUGAAAGAAGUAUCUGCGGCUGGGCUCCCAGAGAGACUGGUGUUAAAACUCCCUUUGCUGCAAUGAAGUGGGUCACAGAUGAGCCAUCCAGGCAACCACUCUGCAGGAGGGAGGAUCACAGCAUCCCAGAACCAGAAGUUGGUCCAACCCAUCCCUACAAAAGGAACCCCUCUACAACCCGCCAGACCAAUAAUCAUUCAUCUGCUGCUCAAAGACCUCCAAUGAGGAGAAAUCCACAACUGCCCACACAUUCUACUUUUGAACAGAUCUAACUAUUAGAAAGUUUUUCCUCACUUCAAGCCUAAAUUUCCCUCCUAAAUUACUCCUGGUUUUACCCUCUGGGAUCAAGAAGAAACAAAUUCAUCCCUCUUGCAUAUGGCUGCCCAUGAAACGCUCAAAGGUCACUAUAUUGUCCUCUUUAUCCUCACCAUAGGUUUUUUCUUUGCCAGACUCAUCAUCACCAGUUUAUUCAUAUAAUCCUCAUAUGACAUAGUCCCCAGUUUUCUUAUCACCUUAGUUCCACUUCUCUGGUCACUCUCUAGUUUGUUAAUAUCCUUCCUAAAAUGUCAUACCCAGAUCUCUUUUAAGUGACCAGAGAUCUCAUCUAUUAGUUGGUCAGUCAACAAACAAUUAUGAAUCACCUACUAUGAGUCAGGCACUGUGCUAAGCACUGGAGGCUCAAAGAAAGGCAAAAGACAGUCUCUGCCCAUGAAGAAUAAGGGUGACAACAUACAGACAACAGUGCACAAACAAGAUACACAUAGGAGGAAUUGGAAAUAGUCAACAGAGAGAAGGCACCAGCUGGGAGAAUCUGGAACAGCUUCUUGUGGAAGAAGAGAUUUCAGCUGGGACUUGAAGGAAACCAGAGAAACCUGGAGGCAGAGAUGAAGAGGGAGAGAAUUAGGGCCUGUACCCAACCAAGACUUAAUAUAAUCCAGAGAAUUUAAAAUGGAAAGAACACUGGCUCUGGGCUCAGAGGACUUUGGUUUAAAUAUUGCCUCUGUCGCUUAGCUAACUAUGAGACAACCACCCUGGGCCUCAGUUUCCUUAUUUGUCAAAAUGAAAUCUGUAAAUGCCUUGAAAUUCGAAGUCUUGGAGAGGUACCUGGAACACUAAGAGAUGAAAUGACUUGCCAAGGGUCACGUAGCUUGUGACCUGAACCAAGGUAGGCUUGACUCCAAAGUUCUCUGUGCACUACUCAGAACUGUCUCUUCCCCAUUGUUAUCACAAAUGAAAUCCCUUAGACAAUUGUGAGAGAUGUGCUUGGUUGAAAGAAAGGAGUACAAAAGAAAACCCAGAGCAAGACAUAAAAAGCACUCUGUUCCAGUGUGAAACAGGGAAGAAACAGAUGGUAACAAUCAAAAAAUAGACCAAUGCCUGCAACCAGUAGAGGUUUGCAAACCAGUAUGCAAAUCUAGAGGUAAUCAAUGAGGGUGGGUCACUGCAAAGCCUGUCAGGACUAACAACAUUUCUAGAGUCUUUGGACCUCCUCCCUCCUCACAUCCUUACAUCUGGAUCCAAGAAGCCCUGCUCCCAACCCCAAAACUCCUCUCACCCUCAAUUCCAAAAUUUGUUGUGGAAUUCCGACUCUCCCAGUCUUCCAUCUCAUGCCCCAUCCUUGGACUCUUGCGGCAGGACACAGAAACCACUAUUGUUGUUGUUUGUCCUUCUUACUGGAAGAGGAUAAAUGACAUCUAGAUGUUGGGGGCAAGGUACAGUGUGUUGGGUUGUGACUCCUCAGUCCAAUAUGAGCUUGGAAGGAUCUACUAAAGGUCAGGCACAAAUGGUCCAUUUGGACACUUAGGAUGGAGAUAGAUUUGUGCCUCAUCGCCUGUUCCUUUUGGGCUUCGGCAAUUCUCCUUCACUCAGGGAGCACAAUGCUUUCUUUGAUGCGGGCAUGCCAUGCUGGGAAGUUCUGUGCCAGUGUCUCCUGUGUCUCACAAUCAAUACUAAAGUUCUUCAGAGAGACCAGCAACCAUUUCCAAUGACCUGGAACUGGGAGAAAUUCCUGUUCCCAAGGGGUAAGUGGAGAGAGAAAGAUGGUGGCCUCAAAAUGCCUGCAAGGCCACAAGGGACUAUUCCUGGAACCCUAAAGUAGGAUUCAGAAUACAUUGUUUUAUGUUAUGCUUACACUCCAUCAUGGUGGUGUUCGUAUAAGCCUAUACUUCCAGUACAUCCUGAGUUAAUAGGCAUUUGUGGACUUGGCUGGGAAUGAAAACACCAUGCAUAGCGUUGUUGGCAGAGAGGGGGGCAGGAGUUCUAAACAGCUGACUUAGAAAUGAGCUUAUGAAACAAAAUUCAUUUUAAAGUUGGAGAUUGAGACUGCUAUUGUUCUUCCCAUAGAUACUUUAAAUAGGCUUUUAUUAUUAUCUUGUUUUUACAUAACCUGUAUAUGUCCCUAUAUCCCUCCUGCAUCUCUCUCCCACAGAGUCAUCCUUUAGAACAAAGAAUUUUUAAGAAGAAAAAGUGAAAGAGAAAAAAAACAGUCAGCAAAACUGAUAAAUAUAUUCAGAAAAAAAUUGCAGUAUUCCACACCCAUGACCCUAAGCUUUGCAAAGGAGGGAGGUGUGUUGCCUUCUCAUAUCUCUUCUUUGGAGCCAAGCCUGUUCCUUGUCACUUACAUUGCUUUGUGGUUGGCUUUUUCCGUUUCCAUUGUGGUCAGCAUCUUGUAGAUUGUCUCCCUAGCCCAGCUUACUUCACUUUAUUGUUUCAUCUAGGUCUUCCCAUGCUUCUCUGUACUCAUCACGUUUAUUAUUUUUUAUAACAUAGUAAUUUUUAAAAAUAAAAUUUAAUUAUUUUCUUCUUGUUUUUACA